Molecule: ribosomal RNA, 254 nt
Filed under: uncultured bacterium
Lineage: Bacteria
Description: partial 16S ribosomal RNA
Rfam family: Bacterial small subunit ribosomal RNA
Source: RNAcentral
UACGUAGGGUGCGAGCGUUAAUCGGAAUUACUGGGCGUAAAGCGUGCGCAGGCGGUUUUGUAAGUCAGAUGUGAAAUCCCCCGGGCUCAACCUGGGAACUGCGUUUGAAACUACAAGGCUAGAGUGUAGCAGAGGGGGGUAGAAUUCCACGUGUAGCAGUGAAAUGCGUAGAGAUGUGGAGGAAUACCAAUGGCGAAGGCAGCCCCCUGGGUUAACACUGACGCUCAUGCACGAAAGCGUGGGGAGCAAACAGG